Molecule: transfer RNA, 75 nt
Filed under: Eubacteriales bacterium OttesenSCG-928-M02
Lineage: Bacteria; Bacillati; Bacillota; Clostridia; Eubacteriales
Description: tRNA-Glu
Rfam family: tRNA
About the family: Transfer RNA (tRNA) molecules are approximately 80 nucleotides in length. Their secondary structure includes four short double-helical elements and three loops (D, anti-codon, and T loops). Further hydrogen bonds mediate the characteristic L-shaped molecular structure. tRNAs have two regions of fundamental functional importance: the anti-codon, which is responsible for specific mRNA codon recognition, and the 3' end, to which the tRNAs corresponding amino acid is attached (by aminoacyl-tRNA synthetases). tRNAs cope with the degeneracy of the genetic code in two manners: having more than one tRNA (with a specific anti-codon) for a particular amino acid; and 'wobble' base-pairing, i.e. permitting non-standard base-pairing at the 3rd anti-codon position.
Source: RNAcentral
GGCCCCAUGGUCAAGCGGUUAAGACACCGCCCUCUCAAGGCGGUAACAGGGGUUCGAUUCCCCUUGGGGCUACCA